Molecule: small nucleolar RNA, 80 nt
Filed under: Lipomyces starkeyi NRRL Y-11557
Lineage: Eukaryota; Fungi; Ascomycota; Lipomycetes; Lipomycetales; Lipomycetaceae
Description: Small nucleolar RNA SNORD24
Rfam family: Small nucleolar RNA SNORD24
About the family: U24 is a member of the C/D class of snoRNA which contain the C (UGAUGA) and D (CUGA) box motifs. C/D box snoRNAs have been shown to act as methylation guides for a number of RNA targets. U24 is encoded within an intron of the gene for ribosomal protein L7a in mammals, chicken and Fugu.
Source: Rfam by way of RNAcentral
UGCUUGUGAUGAAAAGUCUAUUAUCUGCUACUACUGUGGAACCAAGGUUAUGACGUUUACUCACCAAGAUCUCUGAGGCU